This 769-nucleotide long non-coding RNA is filed under the name Marmota monax (woodchuck). Lineage: Eukaryota; Metazoa; Chordata; Mammalia; Rodentia; Sciuridae. The record is from RNAcentral.
UGAGAAUAGAGUUUGGCAUAUAGAAAAGGAGCAUAGCGACUUAGCAUUAUCACUGUCUUGAAUUUCACAAAGCUUAGUAGCAUCGUCGACUUUUUUUUUCUUUUCUGAAAAACACUUUGAAUCUAUCUUCAGUAUUGUAUUCUUUCUUUAUAUGUUUUUAUUCUCAUUUUAUCCCUCUGAAUCAGACCCUUGUCUAGUUCCUCCUAAUUUCUGUUCUAUUUUCCAAUGUAUGCAGCAAUUUCCUGCUAAUCUAAGCUUAAAAUUGUUUUUUCCGUGCUGUCUGAUCUUAGACAAGUCACUGCCCCUCUCUGGGUCUCAAAUUCCUCCUCUGUCAAAUAAUGGACUUAGAUUAGAUGCUUUCUCAUCAAACAUUUGAUGACAUUGUCACUUAAAUACUCUAAAAGCAUUUAAGACCCUCUCUGAUCUUGUGCACUUCUUCUAUCAAAGAAAUAUUACCCAUAUGCCCAACAUGGAUCCCAUCCUGGUGCUUCACAUGGGCUGGGCAAGCGUUCUACCACUGAGCUACACCCCCAGCCCAGGAAUCCCAUUCUUGGAUGAACCUUCUCUCUGUUCCUCCUUUAGAGCAUUUCUCCAGGCUCUUUCCUCUCACUCAAUGCCUUCUUCACUCUGUUCAGCUCAUUCCCCUCUUAACCAACUGGAGGCCCAGCUCACCUUCAACCUCUUCGUGAACUUAUCCGAAUCCUCCAGCCCUAACUGAUCUUUAUGAAACUCGUCCCAAUCUUCGAGCUCUCAACCCAGACUUUACUCU